RNAcentral lists this ribosomal RNA (2819 nucleotides) under Brachyscelus globiceps. RNAcentral's name for it is "partial 28S ribosomal RNA". It matches the Rfam family "Eukaryotic large subunit ribosomal RNA", at positions 72 to 1871 of the family's 3401-position model. Lineage: Eukaryota; Metazoa; Arthropoda; Malacostraca; Amphipoda; Brachyscelidae. The record is from RNAcentral.
CGAUUCCCUUAGUAGCGGCGAGCGAAACGGGAACAGCCCAGCGCAUAAUCUCCCAGGCUACCAAGCCUGCGGCGAAAUGUUGCGUUAAGGGAAUGGUCGCUAACAGCCUCGUACGCCCGUAGAUGUUGCCUAAUCGCGUUCUGAAAUGUUCGCGCAUGUUGGGUGCUACGUCUCUCGGGAUGAAUCGCUCAACUCACGGUACCGUGGAGGGUGCAAGCCCCGUUCGGCCGCGUGUUGCGUGCGAAGGCUAGAUCAUUUUCCCGGAGAGUCGCGUUGUUUGAACAUACAGCGCUAAGCAGGUGGUAAACUCCACCUAAGGCUAAAUAUGUCCACAGAACCGAUAGCUUACAAGUACCGCGAGGGAAAGUUGAAAAGUACUCUGGAGAGAGGGUGCAAAGACCGUGAAACCAUCCAGGGCAAAAGCCAAUGUCGAGUAUCCUAGUUGCGCUGGGACCACCCUUCGGGGUGUAGGUGAGCAUGUUCGUAGUUUUCGAAUAUCUGGCGCUUGUACGUGUUGGAUUCGAUGACUCGUUCAUAAUUGCUUGCCUCUCGAGUCCAUUAACAGCCCAUCGGAACUCUUGUUAGACCAUUCGUGGUAGUGUGCGUCUGAUCUCUGUACGUUCGUUUAGGGUAUGUUUGUCAACGAUUGCCCGCGUCAGAGGAAUCCCUCCUAGUAGUCUUCGGACGAAAUGAGCUCCUUUACGCGCCGGUGUGAAUAUGGCUUUCAAGGCGAACUACCUGAGCAUACGGAACUUACGCGCGUUGCCAAUACGUUUUUGGUUCUCGACGAGAGUUUAACAGACGCUUCUCGUGGCCCAAACCUGAUCCAACGUGCUAUUUGCAACGAACGGUUGGGAAGAAGCUGCGGGAAAGAUACGAUGGUAUGCCUAGGCGACAUUGGUCACGUCUCGAAACACGGGCCAAGGAGCAUAGCGUAAAGGCAAGUCGCAAGGUUUUACAAAACCUCGUGGCGAGUGAAAGCGAGUGGCGAUCGAUUAGUUUCGUUCGUAGGUGGGAUGUCUUGCGUUCCAGCAAUGAGUCGCUGGGCAUUUCUGCCGUCUUGUACAGAGCUGAUCCUCCAGUUCCUCGGAACGAAAAGGCGCAAGCUCCGGGCUCGCUCGUUGUCGCUUACAGGGAACUUGUUCCUUGUAGUGGCUGAGAGAGCACUGAUUAGACUUUCCGCUAUAACCCGAAAGAUAGUGAACUAUGCUUGGCGAAGACGAAGCCCCAGGAAACUGUGGUGGAAGUCUGUAGCCGUUGUGACGUGCAAAUCCAUGGUGUCAGCUGAGCAUAGGGGCGAAAGACCAAUCGAACUAUCUAGUAGCUGGUUCCGUUCGAAGUUUCUCUCAGGAUAGCUUGCGCGAUGCAUACGCUCUUGUCUAAACUCUCGUUCGCAUAAGUGAUCGAGUGUUUGCCUUGAAAGUCUGAAGCAAUUGAGACGUGCGACUUGUCAUCUCGUUCUCUUCAUUCUCAGAGCCAGGGUAGCGGAAUUAUUUAUUUGCAGUUACGUCUGGUAAAGAGAAUGAGUAGAGUUGGCUCGUUGGUCUUUUUGCAUCAACGGCAGCGGGGCGUUUUACGCCUCGCACUAUUAUCAAACUUUAAAUGGGCGUGAAACCUGGCAUUGACUUAACUGCUUGAUGCUAGGAAUGACAUAUGCGCGCGCUUCUGCGCGUGCAUGGAGAAUGCUCCCGCGUUAAGUGGGUCCGUUCUGGUAAGCAGAACUGAUAAUGAGGGAUGAACCUAACGCAUGUGAUAAGGGGCCAAAAUGACAGCUAUUUCUCGAAACCAUUGGAAAGGUGUUGCUUGCUGAAGACAGCAGGACGGUGGUCAUGGAAGUUGACAUCCGCUAAGGAGUGUGUAACAACUCAUCCUGCCGAAGCGAGUAACCCUGAAAAUGGAUGGCUCUAUAGCUCUCUCCCGAUGCACAGCCGUUAACGGCACGAGAGACCCUGUGUCUCAACGCCUUAACGUGUAGAAUGGCGUGCUGGUAAGCGUUGAAGGCCUUUGCGUGAGCUUGGCCCGAGCUGCCAGCAGUGCAGAUCUUGGUGGUAGUAGCAAGUACUCUGGUGAAUAACCUUGAGCUGUGAGGUUGAUAAGGGUUCCAUGUCAACAGCGUUUGAACAUGGGUAAGCCGGUCCUAAGCUCCCUUUAUGUUUGAAGGUGAUUGCUUUUGCGAGAGCGUACUUAGUACUACUGAYAUCACACUGUCGAACCGUAGAUUCUUCCUGUUGCGUCUCUUGCACUCACGAACGGAUCGUCUUCCGAGUCGAGUCGGUGUUUCACGAACGAGCUUUGCGAAGCUAUCGGCUGCGCCUAGCAUCUAUUAGUGCCCGUACGAGUCUCUACGACGAUUACUAUUAGGAGUGCUCGGUCCUUGGAAAGUUUUUUACGCCUUCGAAAGGUGUGCAGUGGGAAACGUUGCUUUAGCGUAGCUUGGCGAAAGGGAAAUGUGAACUCAGUUCAUAUGCCUCUCCUGGCACCCUGAAACGGCUUGCCGUGACACGGACCUAGCGAUAGCUGCCAGGCCAGUCGUUGUCAUAAGUAGCUCAGCGGGGAGAUUUCUUCUCUCUUUGAUAGGGCUCGUAACUCUGAAAACACCUCGCGUGGCGGAAGAGUGAUGCCUUGUAUAGCAGAGUACUCUGGUCCCUCGAGUAGUCUGACGCUACUUGUGAUCCGUGAAAAGGUGGCCGAGGGGAUACAAUCAAAGGUGUACGCGAGGACCGUGGCGAUUUUAUUAUUGCCUAACGUUCUUGCGUUACUACACUUUACUAGAGUGUUAGCCACGGAGUGACCGUACCCAUUUCCGCAUCCGUCUCAAA